GGUGAACGGUGUGCACAGUGUUGGUCUGUGUUAUGUGUUGUUGCCUGGCUGCGUUUUGCAGUCUAGGCAGCAGUGCUCACUCCACACCUGCAGCCAUAGAACAACAGGAGAUCAUAGUACUGGCCUUUGACGUCUUCACUGACCUCCUCACCAUCGGCCAGCCUCCAAAUUCUCCAACAUGC
This is a small nucleolar RNA of Solea solea (common sole), 182 nucleotides long. RefSeq annotates it as small nucleolar RNA SNORA23. The record is from RefSeq and is a predicted model, not a curated record. The transcript has a single exon. Lineage: Eukaryota; Metazoa; Chordata; Actinopteri; Pleuronectiformes; Soleidae.